Hydractinia symbiolongicarpus is the source of this 1224-nucleotide long non-coding RNA. RefSeq lists it as uncharacterized. The record is from RefSeq and is a predicted model, not a curated record. Lineage: Eukaryota; Metazoa; Cnidaria; Hydrozoa; Anthoathecata; Hydractiniidae. The transcript is spliced from 2 exons.
AAGGAAAAUAUUUGCUCAUCUUUCUAGCUGAUCACCUAUUCAAUGUUGAGUCACCAUGGUAACAUGUGCGACGCUAUACAAACAUUUUUGAUGUUAAUUAUGUUAAAUAUAAAUGAUGAUGAAAUCUCAUCAAUUAUUAACCCGUAAACCGGAAUAUUUCAGAGGUUUGGGAUAGCAUAGGGCUUUUUUACUCUCUCAAGAUUAGGAGAUAUUCAAUUUGAAUACUUCAUUCUUAUGGAGAUCAUUUGGCUUGGACAGGUGAUUUUCUAUCUUAUUUGUUGCAGCUUUAUUAGUAUUGCGAAUUACUUAGCUACAAUAAAUAUAACGCCUGUCCAUUGUUAUUUAUUUUGAUUGUUUAUAUAUUUUUUCCAUGUUGUAUUAUUUGUUUUUCUUAAUAUGAAAGAACAUAUACCAGAGGAAAUUAUCACAAAAAAACAAUAAACAGCUGGAAAUCACAGCAGACGAAAUGUUUCCCAUACACUAUUCUAUAGUCUCUGCAGUGAAUUCUUUUUUUGGAGACUUUAAUUUAUUUUACUGUUUAAAAUUUCAGUGUUUCAAUCAUCUUGAUUUUUAUCAAAACAUACAUACAAACUCAAAAGAUUCUUUUGAUGUGCGACAUUUAUGGCUGAUUGCGACAUUUUUAGCUGAUUACGACAUUUAUGGCUGAUUGCGACGUUUAUGGUUGAUUGCGACAUUUAUGGUUGAUUGCGACGUUUAUGGUUGAUUGUGACAUUUAUGGUUGAUUGCGACAUUUAUGGCUAUUGCGACGUUUAUGGUUGAUUGCGACAUUUAUGGAUGUAACAGAUGUGUUAUUAUUCAAAAAUUUUCCGUUUAUUGUCAAGGCUGUAGCCUUUUUCUAUAGCGUAUAAUCAUAGGGGCAAAAUAUCCUUUUCUAAUGUCGGUAAAAUCGGAUGUAUAGCUAUACAUGCGAAUCGAAUCUAUAUUUUCUUAAUUUUUUUGAAUUAUGCCCAGCGCAGCAUAUAAGGAAAUAAACAAAUAAUAAUAAUAAAUCAAAUUGAAAAAUUUAUCCUUAACCAAUUCGUGAAGUUCCGACUAGCGGAUUUAGCGACAUGUUGUCAGAAUGGGAACAUUGGAAGUGUAUAUUAUAGAGUUAUUUACAACAAGACAUGCAUUUUUUCUUACUGUGUAUUAUAGUUAUCCCUACUCUUCAGCAGCAGACACUUUGUACCAUGAUUUUUAUUUAUAAAAACUUGUAUAGCUGUA